UAGACACGGACCAGACUCCUACGGGAGGCAGCAGUGAGGAAUAUUGGUCAAUGGGCGAGAGCCUGAACCAGCCAAGUCGCGUGAAGGAUGACUGUCCUAAGGAUUGUAAACUUCUUUUAUACGGGAAUAACGGGCGAUACGUGUAUUGCUGUGAAUGUACCGUAAGAAUAAGCAUCGGCUAACUCCGUGCCAGCAGCCGCGGUAAUACGGAGGAUGCGAGCGUUAUCCGGAUUUAUUGGGUUUAAAGGGUGCGUAGGUUGUUCGGUAAGUCAGCGGUGAAAACUGAGCGCUCAACGUUCAGCGUGCCGUUGAAACUGCCGGGCUUGAGUUCAGAGGCGGCAGGCGGAAUUCGUGGUGUAGCGGUGAAAUGCAUAGAUAUCACGAGGAACUCCGAUUGCGAAGGCAGCUUGCCAUACUGCGACUGACACUGAAGCACGAAGGCGUGGGUAUCAAACAGGAUUAGAUACCCUGGUAGUCCACGCAGUAAACGAUGAUUACUAGGAGUUUGCGAUAUACCGUCAAGCUUCCACAGCGAAAGCGUUAAGUAAUCCACCUGGGGAGUACGCCGGCAACGGUGAAACUCAAAGGAAUUGACGGGGGCCCGCACAAGCGGAGGAACAUGUGGUUUAAUUCGAUGAUACGCGAGGAACCUUACCCGGGAUUGAAAUGUAGACGACGGAUGGUGAAAGCCGUCUUCCCUUCGGGGCGUCUAUGUAGGUGCUGCAUGGUUGUCGUCAGCUCGUGCCGUGAGGUGUCGGCUUAAGUGCCAUAACGAGCGCAACCCACAUCGGUAGUUGCUAACAGGUUUAGCUGAGGACUCUACCGAGACUGCCGUCGUAAGGCGUGAGGAAGGUGUGGAUGACGUCAAAUCAGCACGGCCCUUACAUCCGGGGCGACACACGUGUUACAAUGGGAGGGACAAAGGGCAGCUACCGGGCGACCGGAUGCGAAUCUCGAAACCCUUCCCCAGUUCGGAUCGGAGUCUGCAACUCGACUCCGUGAAGCUGGAUUCGCUAGUAAUCGCGCAUCAGCCAUGGCGCGGUGAAUACGUUCCCGGGCCUUGUACACACCGCCCGUCAAGCCAUGGGAGUCGGGGGUACCUGAAGGGCGUAACCGCAAGGG
This 1122-nucleotide ribosomal RNA is filed under the name Porphyromonas gulae. RNAcentral describes it as "bacterial SSU rRNA". It matches the Rfam family "Bacterial small subunit ribosomal RNA", at positions 321 to 1451 of the family's 1533-position model. Lineage: Bacteria; Pseudomonadati; Bacteroidota; Bacteroidia; Bacteroidales; Porphyromonadaceae. The record is from RNAcentral.